UACCUCAGCCAUAUCACCCUGCAACUCACAACUGGCAACUCACUGAAGCUAAGCAGGUGUGAGCCUGGUCAGUACCUGGAUGGAGACCUCCUGGGAAAAACUAAGGUUGCUGCUGGAA
Ribosomal RNA from Lepisosteus oculatus (spotted gar), 118 nucleotides. The record is from Ensembl. NCBI's taxonomy places the organism in Eukaryota, Metazoa, Chordata, Actinopteri, Semionotiformes, Lepisosteidae.